GAUGAACGCUAGCUACAGGCUUAACACAUGCAAGUCGAGGGGAAACGACAUCGAAAGCUUGCUUUUGAUGGGCGUCGACCGGCGCACGGGUGAGUAACGCGUAUCCAACCUGCCCAUCACUUGGGAAUAACCUUGCGAAAGUAAGACUAAUACCCAAUGACAUCCCCCGAAGACAUCUGAAUGGGAUUAAAGAUUUAUCGGUGAUGGAUGGGGAUGCGUCUGAUUAGCUUGUUGGCGGGGUAACGGCCCACCAAGGCAACGAUCAGUAGGGGUUCUGAGAGGAAGGUCCCCCACAUUGGAACUGAGACACGGUCCAAACUCCUACGGGAGGCAGCAGUGAGGAAUAUUGGUCAAUGGGCGAGAGCCUGAACCAGCCAAGUAGCGUGCAGGAUGACGGCCCUAUGGGUUGUAAACUGCUUUUAUAAGGGAAUAAAGUGGGUCUCGUGAGACUUUUUGCAUGUACCUGAUGAAUAAGGACCGGCUAAUUCCGUG
Molecule: ribosomal RNA, 492 nt
Filed under: uncultured bacterium
Lineage: Bacteria
Description: partial 16S ribosomal RNA
Rfam family: Bacterial small subunit ribosomal RNA
Source: RNAcentral